This 402-nucleotide ribosomal RNA is filed under the name Triticum aestivum (bread wheat). RNAcentral describes it as "partial small subunit ribosomal RNA". Lineage: Eukaryota; Viridiplantae; Streptophyta; Magnoliopsida; Poales; Poaceae. The record is from RNAcentral.
AUGCGGUCGGCAAGGAGCAGCAGCGCAGUCGGCAAGGAGCAAUACGAGCAGCAGGCGCGGCCUACAAGGAGCUCCGCCUGGACUGAUGCCGUCGCCCACCUGGAGGAGCCCGCCUCCGUGCAAAGGCCGGCACCACCACCUCGAGUUGGCGCCGCCAUGGACCACCACCUCGAGCCGCCACCAUCAUGGACCACCACCUGGACCUGGCACCGAGGUCGGCCAUGCCGCCGCCAUGAAGGAGGUGCACGGGCCGCUCGAGGGGAUGGAAGAGGGCUCGCGGCCGGCCACUGCUCACGGCUGCCACAACCACGGGAUGGGCUGGCCUGGCCGCAGCCAUGGCUGCCGGCCACAACCACGGCCGACUUAUACAGGGACUUGAUUGCUUUUUUGAAAAAUGAUUGA